This is a non-coding RNA of Myodes glareolus (Bank vole), 673 nucleotides long. NCBI's taxonomy places the organism in Eukaryota, Metazoa, Chordata, Mammalia, Rodentia, Cricetidae. The record is from RefSeq and is a predicted model, not a curated record.
UUAAAGGCUACUGGCUGUAGGAAUUCCUACAGCAAUUGAAUUUAUUUUUCUUUUCUCUUUUUACUCUACAGGGUCUUUCCACAUACAUUAUGGCUUUCGGCUUAGUGUUCUUGUGGGAUUCCUGGGUGUGUCAGCAAGCGGAGCUCUGUUUGGGUCACACCUUGAGUUCCUGUCAUGGCUUCCCUUGAUGAUUGUCUCUCAGUGGGCUGGGGGCUCACAAAGGAGGCUGGAAUCAGUGGGCGGCAAAUUCCAGGAACCCACCUGUCUUAGUUUCCCAUUUGUAGCUGUGGCAAUACACUCCAGCAGAAGGUCACCUCGGCGAGAAAGGGCUUGCUUCAACUCACUAUUACAAGCUACAGUUCAUCAUGGCUGAGAAGUCAAGGCGGCAGGGAUUUGAAGCAAUUUGGCACAUGUGCAAUCAGAGUCAAAAGAGGAUGGAUACGCACACGCCUGCAAUCAGCUCAAUUUCUCUACACUCAUACUGCUCAGGAGCCCAACCCAGGAAACGGUGCUGCCCCCUUUCAGUCUGUGUCUUCCCACAUCAGUUAAUGCAAUCAAGAAAGAUAGUUCUCCACAGAUGUGCCCAGGGGCCAACCUGAUCUAAAUAACCCUUAUUGCAACUCUCCCAAGAUUCCAGAUAGCAUCACGAUGGCAAUUAAAACCAGAAACCAGA